Molecule: transfer RNA, 74 nt
Filed under: Amborella trichopoda
Lineage: Eukaryota; Viridiplantae; Streptophyta; Magnoliopsida; Amborellales; Amborellaceae
Description: tRNA AMTR_s00102t00276050
Rfam family: tRNA
About the family: Transfer RNA (tRNA) molecules are approximately 80 nucleotides in length. Their secondary structure includes four short double-helical elements and three loops (D, anti-codon, and T loops).
Source: RNAcentral
UUCCUCAGUAGCUCAGUGGUAUAGCGGUCGGCUGUUAACUGAUUGGUUGUAGGUUCAAAUCCUACUUGGGGAGA